AUACGUAGGGUGCGAGCGUUGUCCGGAAUUACUGGGCGUAAAGAGCUCGUAGGUGGUUUGUCGCGUCGUCUGUGAAAUUCCGGGGCUUAACUCCGGGCGUGCAGGCGAUACGGGCAUAACUUGAGUACUGUAGGGGAGACUGGAAUUCCUGGUGUAGCGGUGAAAUGCGCAGAUAUCAGGAGGAACACCGGUGGCGAAGGCGGGUCUCUGGGCAGUAACUGACGCUGAGGAGCGAAAGCAUGGGUAGCGAACAGGAUUAGAUACCCUGGUAGUCCAUGCCGUAAACGGUGGGCGCUAAGUGUAGGGGUCUUCCACGACUUCUGUGCCGUAGCUAACGCAUUAAGCGCCCCGCCUGGGGAGUACGGCCGCAAGGCUAAAACUCAAAGGAAUUGACGGGG
This 398-nucleotide ribosomal RNA is filed under the name uncultured bacterium. RNAcentral's name for it is "partial 16S ribosomal RNA". It matches the Rfam family "Bacterial small subunit ribosomal RNA", at positions 523 to 918 of the family's 1533-position model. The record is from RNAcentral.